RNAcentral lists this ribosomal RNA (367 nucleotides) under uncultured organism. Its description in RNAcentral is "bacterial SSU rRNA". It matches the Rfam family "Bacterial small subunit ribosomal RNA", at positions 526 to 896 of the family's 1533-position model. The record is from RNAcentral.
CGGAGGGUGCAAGCGUUAUCCGGAUUUAUUGGGUUUAAAGGGUGCGUAGGCGGUAUUUUAAGUCAGUGGUGAAAUGUUGCAGCUUAACUGUAGAAUUGCCAUUGAAACUGAAGUACUUGAGUUAUCUUGAGGUAGGCGGAAUGUGUAGUGUAGCGGUGAAAUGCUUAGAUAUUACACAGAACACCGAUUGCGAAGGCAGCUUACUAAGGAUAAACUGACGCUCAGGCACGAAAGCGUGGGGAUCGAACAGGAUUAGAUACCCUGGUAGUCCACGCCGUAAACGAUGAUGACUCGCUGUUGGCGAUACACAGUCAGCGGCUUAGCGAAAGCGUUAAGUCAUCCACCUGGGGAGUACGCUCGCAGAGUG